This 1452-nucleotide ribosomal RNA is filed under the name bacterium NLAE-zl-P148. Its description in RNAcentral is "bacterial SSU rRNA". It matches the Rfam family "Bacterial small subunit ribosomal RNA". The record is from RNAcentral.
GGGCCUAANCAUGCAAGNUCGAACGCUUCUUUUUCCACCGGUAGCUUGCUCCACCGGUAAAAAGAGGAGUGGCGAACGGGUGAGUAACACGUGGGUAACCUGCCCAUCAGAAGGGGAUAACACUUGGAAACAGGUGCUAAUACCGUAUAACAAUCGAAACCGCAUGGUUUUGAUUUGAAAGGCGCUUUCGGGUGUCGCUGAUGGAUGGACCCGCGGUGCAUUAGCUAGUUGGUGAGGUAACGGCUCACCAAGGCGACGAUGCAUAGCCGACCUGAGAGGGUGAUCGGCCACAUUGGGACUGAGACACGGCCCAAACUCCUACGGGAGGCAGCAGUAGGGAAUCUUCGGCAAUGGACGAAAGUCUGACCGAGCAACGCCGCGUGAGUGAAGAAGGUUUUCGGAUCGUAAAACUCUGUUGUUAGAGAAGAACAAGGAUGAGAGUAACUGUUCAUCCCUUGACGGUAUCUAACCAGAAAGCCACGGCUAACUACGUGCCAGCAGCCGCGGUAAUACGUAGGUGGCAAGCGUUGUCCGGAUUUAUUGGGCGUAAAGCGAGCGCAGGCGGUUUCUUAAGUCUGAUGUGAAAGCCCCCGGCUCAACCGGGGAGGGUCAUUGGAAACUGGGAGACUUGAGUGCAGAAGAGGAGAGUGGAAUUCCAUGUGUAGCGGUGAAAUGCGUAGAUAUAUGGAGGAACACCAGUGGCGAAGGCGGCUCUCUGGUCUGUAAACUGACGCUGAGGCUCGAAAGCGUGGGGAGCAAACAGGAUUAGAUACCCUGGUAGUCCACGCCGUAAACGAAUGAGUGCUAAGUGUUGGAGGGUUUCCGCCCUUUCAGUGCUGCAGCUAACGCAUUAAAGCACUCCGCCUGGGGAGUACGACCGCAAGGUUGAAACUCAAAGGAAUUGACGGGGGCCCGCACAAGCGGUGGAGCAUGUGGUUUAAUUCGAAGCAACGCGAAGAACCUUACCAGGUCUUGACAUCCUUUGACCACUCUAGAGAUAGAGCUUCCCCUUCGGGGGCAAAGUGACAGGUGGUGCAUGGUUGUCGUCAGCUCGUGUCGUGAGAUGUUGGGUUAAGUCCCGCAACGAGCGCAACCCUUAUUGUUAGUUGCCAUCAUUUAGUUGGGCACUCUAGCAAGACUGCCGGUGACAAACCGGAGGAAGGUGGGGAUGACGUCAAAUCAUCAUGCCCCUUAUGACCUGGGCUACACACGUGCUACAAUGGGAAGUACAACGAGUCGCAAAGUCGCGAGGCUAAGCUAAUCUCUUAAAGCUUCUCUCAGUUCGGAUUGUAGGCUGCAACUCGCCUACAUGAAGCCGGAAUCGCUAGUAAUCGCGGAUCAGCACGCCGCGGUGAAUACGUUCCCGGGCCUUGUACACACCGCCCGUCACACCACGAGAGUUUGUAACACCCGAAGUCGGUGAGGUAACCUUUGGAGCCAGCCGCCUAAGUG